CAGAUUGAACGCUGGCGGCAUGCCUAACACAUGCAAGUCGAACGGGAGUAGCAAUACUCUAGUGGCGGACGGGUGAGGAAUACGUAGGAAUUUGCCCUUAAGUGGGGGAUAACCCGGGGAAACCCGGAUUAAUACCGCAUGACCUCGAAAGAGCAAAGUGGGGGAUCGCAAGACCUCACGCUUUUGGAGAAGCCUACGUCGGAUUAGCUAGUUGGUGAGGUAAUGGCUCACCAAGG
RNAcentral lists this ribosomal RNA (236 nucleotides) under uncultured soil bacterium. RNAcentral's name for it is "partial 16S ribosomal RNA". It matches the Rfam family "Bacterial small subunit ribosomal RNA", at positions 25 to 273 of the family's 1533-position model. The record is from RNAcentral.